CGCGUAGGUGGUCAAAUAAGUCUGGUGUGAAAUAUCUCGGCUCAACCGAGGAAACGCGCUGGAAACUGUCUGACUUGAGUGAUGGAGGGGGAGCUGGAAUUCCAGGUGUAGGGGUGAAAUCUGUAGAGAUCUGGAAGAACACCGGAGGCGAAGGCGAGCUCCUGGCCAUCUACUGACACUGAGGCGCGAAAGCGUGGGGAGCGAACAGGAUUAGAUACCCUGGUAGUCC
This 229-nucleotide ribosomal RNA is filed under the name uncultured bacterium. RNAcentral's name for it is "partial 16S ribosomal RNA". It matches the Rfam family "Bacterial small subunit ribosomal RNA", at positions 568 to 796 of the family's 1533-position model. The record is from RNAcentral.